AUUGAACGCUGGCGGAAUGCUUUACACAUGCAAGUCGAACGGCAGCACGGGGCAACCUGGUGGCGAGUGGCGAACGGGUGAGUAAUACAUCGGAACGUGCCCAAUCGUGGGGGAUAACGUAGCGAAAGUUACGCUAAUACCGCAUACGAUCUACGGAUGAAAGCGGGGGAUCGCAAGACCUCGCGCGUAAUGGAGCGGCCGAUGUCAGAUUAGGUAGUUGGUGGGGUAAAGGCUCACCAAGCCAAUGAUCUGUAGCUGGUCUGAGAGGACGACCAGCCACACUGGAACUGAGACACGGUCCAGACUCCUACGGGAGGCAGCAGUGGGAAUUUUGGACAAUGGCGCAAGCCUGAUCCAGCCAUUCCGCGUGCAGGAUG
This 377-nucleotide ribosomal RNA is filed under the name uncultured bacterium. RNAcentral describes it as "bacterial SSU rRNA". It matches the Rfam family "Bacterial small subunit ribosomal RNA", at positions 30 to 410 of the family's 1533-position model. The record is from RNAcentral.